RNAcentral lists this unclassified non-coding RNA (294 nucleotides) under uncultured bacterium. RNAcentral describes it as "contains 16S-23S intergenic spacer region". The stretch from base 1 to 71 matches the Rfam family "5.8S ribosomal RNA", at positions 84 to 154 of the family's 154-position model. The record is from RNAcentral.
GUGAAUCAUCGAAUCUUUGAACGCACAUUGCGCCCCCUGGCAUUCCGGGGGGCAUGCCUGUCCGAGCGUCAUUUCUGCCCUCAAGCACGGCUUGGGUGUUGGGUUCCGUCCCCCUCCAAAGGGACGGGCCUGAAAGGCAGUGGCGGUGUCAUGUCCGGUUCUCGAGCGUAUGGGGCUCUGUCACUCGCUCUGGAGAUCGUCUUGGUGCCUGCCCAUCCUCCAUCUUUCUCAAAGGUUGACCUCGGAUCAGGUAGGGAUACCCGCUGAACUUAAGCAUAUCAAUAAGCGGAGGAG